Cercocebus atys (sooty mangabey) is the source of this 93-nucleotide small nuclear RNA. The record is from Ensembl. NCBI's taxonomy places the organism in Eukaryota, Metazoa, Chordata, Mammalia, Primates, Cercopithecidae.
GUGCUUGCUUUGGCAGCACAUAUACUAAAAUUGGAACAAUACAAGAAGAUCAGCGGAACCCCUGUGCAAAAUAUAGCUGGAUAAUUCAUUUAU